Molecule: ribosomal RNA, 377 nt
Filed under: uncultured bacterium
Lineage: Bacteria
Description: bacterial SSU rRNA
Rfam family: Bacterial small subunit ribosomal RNA
Source: RNAcentral
AUUGAACGCUGGCGGCAUGCCUUACACAUGCAAGUCGAACGGUAACAGGUUAAGCUGACGAGUGGCGAACGGGUGAGUAAUAUAUCGGAACGUGCCCAGUCGUGGGGGAUAACUGCUCGAAAGAGCAGCUAAUACCGCAUACGACCUGAGGGUGAAAGCGGGGAUCGCAAGACCUCGCGCGAUUGGAGCGGCCGAUAUCAGAUUAGGUAGUUGGUGGGGUAAAAGCCACCAAGCCAACGAUCUGUAGCUGGUCUGAGAGGACGACCAGCCACACUGGGACUGAGACACGGCCCAGACUCCUACGGGAGGCAGCAGUGGGGAAUUUUGGACAAUGGGCGCAAGCCUGAUCCAGCCAUGCCGCGUGCGGGAAGAAGGCC